GAUGAACGCUAGCUACAGGCUUAACACAUGCAAGUCGAGGGGCAGCAUGGUCUUAGCUUGCUAAGACUGAUGGCGACCGGCGCACGGGUGAGUAACACGUAUCCAACCUGCCUUAUACUCCCGGACAGCCUUCUGAAAGGAAGAUUAAUACGGGAUGGCAUCACGAGCCAGCAUUUUCUCGUGAUUAAAGAAUUUCGGUAUAAGAUGGGGAUGCGUUCCAUUAGAUAGUAGGCGGGGUAACGGCCCACCUAGUCGACGAUGGAUAGGGGUUCUGAGAGGAAGGUCCCCCACAUUGGAACUGAGACACGGUCCAAACUCCUACGGGAGGCAGCAGUGAGGAAUAUUGGUCAAUGGGCGCGAGCCUGAACCAGCCAAGUAGCGUGAAGGAUGACUGCCCUACGGGUUGUAAACUUCUUUUAUAAAGGAAUAAAGUGAGGCACGUGUGCCUUUUUGUAUGUACUUUAUGAAUAAGGAUCGGCUAACUCCGUGCCAGCAGCCGCGGUAAUACGGAGGAUCCGAGCGUUAUCCGGAUUUAUUGGGUUUAAAGGGAGCGUAGAUGGGUUGUUAAGUCAGUUGUGAAAGUUUGCGGCUCAACCGUAAAAUUGCAAUUGAUACUGGCAGCCUUGAGUACAGUUGAGGUAGGCGGAAUUCGUGGUGUAGCGGUGAAAUGCUUAGAUAUCACGAAGAACUCCGAUUGCGAAGGCAGCCUACUAAACUGCCACUGACAUUGAUGCUCGAAAGUGUGGGUAUCAAACAGG
Molecule: ribosomal RNA, 758 nt
Filed under: uncultured bacterium
Lineage: Bacteria
Description: bacterial SSU rRNA
Rfam family: Bacterial small subunit ribosomal RNA
Source: RNAcentral